GAUGAAGAACGCAGCGAACUGCGAUAAGUAAUGUGAAUUGCAGAAUUCAGUGAAUCAUCGAGUCUUUGAACGCACAUUGCGCCCCCUGGCAUUCCGGGGGGCAUGCCUGUCCGAGCGUCAUUGCUGCCUUCAAGCCCGGCUUGUGUGUUGGGUCGUCGUCCCCCCCGGGGGACGGGCCCGAAAGGCAGCGGCGGCACCGCGUCCGGUCCUCGAGCGUAUGGGGCUUUGUCACCCGCUCGAUUAGGGCCGGCCGGGCGCCAGCCGGCGUCUCCAACCUUCUAUUUUACCAGGUUGACCUCGGAUCAGGUAGGGAUACCCGCUGAACUUAAGCAUAUCAAUAAGCGGAGGA
Molecule: unclassified non-coding RNA, 349 nt
Filed under: soil metagenome
Description: partial contains 5.8S ribosomal RNA, internal transcribed spacer 2, and large subunit ribosomal RNA
Rfam family: 5.8S ribosomal RNA (bases 1-120)
Source: RNAcentral